GGACAAUAAAAGACUACCAAUGACUAACAAGCAGGACAAAUGUUACAAUAUUUCUGUACCACGUGACUGCCAGAAUCACCAUUCUUGUGCAGUUUGGGUUGUCUAUUAAGUAAGAUGGUUACAUGAAAGUGGACAUUGUGAUGUACAGCAGCCAAGGCCAUGACUUGGAUGUUAUGGAGUGACUAAUGAGUAGCCAGGGUACAUAUGUGGAGGGGGAGAGACACCUUGGUUGGAAGCCCCAUAGAGGAGUUAUAAAGACAAACAAAGAAGCUUACUGGAUUGGGGGCAAUGGAGACGCCUGGGAGCUGCAUGAUGUAAGGGCUUGGCAGAGACAGCUUGCGUCUGCCAUACCCGAGUCACCUGGCAUCACCUCCAGGCUCAAGGUGACCUGACGUCUGGGCUGAACACAUCUGAAGGUUUUCCCACCCCAUGUCUGGCAGUUGAUGUUGCCUUUUGCCUUGGAUGCAGCCUCUUUUUAUGGCUGUUUGGCUUCCUCACAGCAUGGUGGCGGGGUUCCAAGGACACGUAUCUUGAGAAGCAGGAAGCAGAAGUUUCUUAAGUCCUGGCCAUAGAGUUGGCAUAGCGUGAUUUCUUACCAAACUCAAUUUGGACGUGAGUCAAACAGUCAAUGAUCCCAGAUCGAAAGAAAGGUUACCUUGGCUUUAUGUCUUGGUAGAAAGAAUGUCCAAGAACUUAGGGUGCAUGUUUAAAAACUUCCAUGAUUUCAUUCAUAUACAAAUGUAAAAGUACUGGGGACAGCAUACAAUGAGGGACUGCCUGCAGCAGGCCGCAAUGGAGACAUCUCAGUAGCCUGUGACAGCUCUUUGUAAAAAACAGUUGCUCCCAUUUCUCCUAACCUUAGCCCUGGACAAUGGCUGUAUAGAUUUCAUUUGUGCGUGACUGUUUUUCAGCUGGCCUUGGUGUGCAUCAUUAUUUUAUUAUAUCUGAUUUUCUUAUUUCUUUCUGUUUUGGUGAACUCUGUGAAACUAGAUGUCCAUUGAUGCAAUGAUUCUUAAACAAUUAAAAACUGAGCCAUGGAGGCACAGCACAGCACAGUCCUAAUGGCCCAGGUGUAUGCUGUGUGUUCUCAUCUUGGAAACAAUGUAAUAACUGCACAAUGGUAGUUCCAGAUCAAUGUUUGACUUACAAAGGAAGUUUGAAGAAAUUAUUAGAAAAUGAAUUUAGAGCCAACAUUGGGACCCUGAGAAAGGAAAAAAAACUAUUGAAGUUAUGAAAUAAAUUUUGCACAACAUUUGAGAGUGGUUCCUGG
RNAcentral lists this long non-coding RNA (1270 nucleotides) under Mus spicilegus (steppe mouse). RNAcentral's name for it is "lncRNA (ENSMSIG00000011233.1)". Lineage: Eukaryota; Metazoa; Chordata; Mammalia; Rodentia; Muridae. The record is from RNAcentral.